GAUGAACGCUGGCGGCGUGCCUAAUACAUGCAAGUCGAGCGAACGGACGAGAAGCUUGCUUCUCUGAUGUUAGCGGCGGACGGGUGAGUAACACGUGGAUAACCUACCUAUAAGACUGGGAUAACUUAGGGAAACCGUAGCUAAUACCGGAUAAUAUUUUGAACCGCAUGGUUCAAAAGUGAAAGACGGUCUUGCUGUCACUUAUAGAUGGAUCCGCGCUGCAUUAGCUAGUUGGUAAGGUAACGGCCUACCAAGGCAACGAUGCAUAGCCGACCUGAGAGGAUGAUCGGCCACACUGGAACUGAGACACGGUCCAGACUCCUACGGGAGGCAGCAGUAGGGAAUCUUCCGCAAUGGGCGAAAGCCUGACGGAGCAACGCCGCGUGAGUGAUGAAGGUCUUCGGAUCGUAAAACUCUGUUAUUAGGGAAGAACAUAUGUGUAAGUAACUGUGCACAUCUUGACGGUACCUAAUCAGAAAGCCACGGCUAACUACGUG
This 497-nucleotide ribosomal RNA is filed under the name uncultured bacterium. RNAcentral describes it as "partial 16S ribosomal RNA". It matches the Rfam family "Bacterial small subunit ribosomal RNA", at positions 28 to 507 of the family's 1533-position model. The record is from RNAcentral.